GCCAGCAGAACAGGAACUGGACCUGCAGUAGGGGGACAGGGCCUCCGCCCAGCCAUGAGCAUUCCUCGGCAUCAUCCAGGGAUGGGGCAGCCAGCACAGGUGAGAUACAGUGGGCAGGUGGAGGAGGGCACUCUGUUUGCUGAGAGACCUGACUGUGGCCACCAAGAGUCUGCAGUCAGUUACUUCAACAGCCGUGAGCUCCUGGUGACACAGAACAGGGGAGGAAGGAGGGUUUCUUUUUUUUUUUGGGCAGGGGGUGGCACAAGGCCAGUACAGCCUAUUGAGAGACACUCUCUCCUAGAGCCUCCCAGAUUCCAUCCAUGACUCUUCUUUUUUUGUUUGUUUUUCUAGACAGGGUUUCUCUGUGUAGCCCUGAUUGACCUGGAACUCACUCUGUUGACCAGGCUGGCCUUGAACUCAGGGAUCUGCCUGCCUCUGCCUCCCAAGUGCUGAGAUCAAAGACCUGCACUACCAGGUUCAGCUUCUGUCAACUCUUUUUUUUUUAAAAGAUUUAUUUAUUAUUAUAUGUAAGUACACUGUAGCUGUCUUCAGACACACCAGAAGAGGGAGUCAGAUCUCGUUACGGAUGGUUGUGAGCCACCAUAUGGUUGCUGGGAUUUGAACUCUGGACCUUCAGAAGAGCAGUCAGGUGCUCUUACCCACUGAGCCAUCUCACCAGCCCCUUCUGUCAACUCUUGAUGGACAGAAGAUAAAAUCCCAAGGCACUGGCUAACAUGUGGCUCAGAGGUACAGCACCAGGUCCUGCAUUCAGUUCUCAGCAUUGCAGUGUAAUAAAAAUAAAAUGCUAAGAGCUAGAGAGAUGGCUCAGUGGUUAGAGCACUUGUUACCCUUGCAGAGGAUGUAGGUUCAGUUCCCAGCACCCCCACGGUGGCUCACAACCACUGAAAUUCCAGCUCCAAAGGAUUCAAUGCUUUCUUCACACCUCCAAUGACACCAAGCACAAAUGUGCUAUACAUCAAUAUAUUUGGGCAAAACAUUUGAACACAUAAAUCUUUACAAAAAAAAUUUUUAAUCCUAAAAUGGGCCAGUGAUGUGGGUAGGCAGAUAAAGGCACUUGCCACCAGGCCUGACAGCUUGAGUUUGAUCCUCUGGACCCUACGGUGAAAGCAAAAAACCAACUCCUGCAAGUUGUUCACUGACUACCAUAUGCACACUGUGGUUAAUGCUCAUUCACACGCGCACGCACGCACACACGUGCACACACACACAAACAACUGAACGUAAUUUAAAAGAUUAAAUCCCAAGGCGCUGGCAGGCUCCCAACACAGUAGAAGUAUGCACACGAGGACGGGUUAUCUGAAGUUACGUGCUGUCUGUUCAGUCUGCAACUAGACACAGGGUUUCCGAGGGGAGGGCCUGCAGCGGAAGUAAAGGUGUCUAGCCUUCUUUCAUUUAUGCUAAUGUCACUGCACCCAGGAGCAGGUACCAAUGCUUCAAGCCACCAGUAUCUGUUCUUAAAUCUCUGCCAACAGGGCCACGGGGCCUCUGCUCACUUGCCUUCAGAAAGUGAUGUCUAGCAACAAGUGACCUGGGAGUUAGGUGACUAGUUAGGGCCUCUUUUCUCUGGGGAGUCUGAGUGUCCAUUACAUAGGGAGGAAGCUCCUUCCAGGAGCCUAGACUUCUGUUAACAAUAAACAGUCACACACAUCAUCUCGGUCCCAAUUGGCGCCCACUCACACCCAGGCUGCUCCUGUCUUCUCUCCUCCCACUUGGCCACAGAAAGCCAGGAGAGGGACCAACACUAGGAGUGUCAAGCCCCACGGUGUCCCCUGCUCAGUCUAGAGUGAAGCCAGCGCCAACCCAGCUCAGGCCAGCCUGUUUGGAUCUCCCCUGCACCUGUUUAUUAAACAGGUGCCACCAUGAAGUGGUCAGAGCAGCCCGGGCUAGCCCGGCCAGGGAGGGCAAACAAGAAGACAGGCAAGAAACUGGUGUGCCAGUGUGCUGAGAAGAGGACUCGGCUGCCAGAGCCCGGAAGGGAGAACAAUGCCCUGUACUGUUGGCCCCUCACAAACAAAAUCUCAACAGAGAAGGCAGAGGAGGCAUGAGGGUUCUGUGACCCCACUCAGGGCUCCCCUUGACUUCUCUAGGGUCAGAGAGAGUCCUCCUCUCACCCCAGACAAACAAAGAGAGUGGGGAACUCCAGAACACCUCCCUGAUAGUGCUAAGGAAACAAAGAGGCCCACAGAUGGAGACACCCCCUAAGUUCCUCAGCAGCCCUUUCUCUGGCUGCUGCCUGAGCCCCUCCCCUCCACGGUGCUGACCCCUGGCCAGCCCUCCUGAGGGUACCUGCCCCAGCAUCCCCUGCCUCUCUUCCAUCCUUAGUCUAUCCGGCAACAGGAAGCAGCAUGUCAGCCCAGCAGGAGAGAUGUGGGUGAGAGGUCGCCUGAGCCACAGAGCAAGCAGGAGGCCUGACUGUGAGUACCACUGGGCCAGCCCUCUCAUGGAGGUCCCAGCAGCAGCAGCCUCCUGCAGGCAGCCUGUGGGUACUGGCCCCUGUGCUCUGUAAAAGGCCACCAAGUGCCGUCUCAGUCUGAUCCCAUAUUCCACACAUGGCACGUGGCAUUAGGGAGCAGGUGUGCAUCUUGUGGAAGGUCUUGUGGAGCCUGGCUCGAAUGGAGAUUGUCAGAGCCAGAGACUCUGACGGUGAUGUUCUCGUCCCCAUGGGUUAGAGAGGCCAAGAGAACAAAGCUGGGAAAGAGCUGGGCACCACCAGAGGCUCUUCCUAUCGCCUGGUGAGAAUGGGGCUGUCCCUCCGCUCCCUCACAAAGGCAUGGAAAGCCAACCCUAGCAGAUAGGACCUUCAUGAGACACUAAGACAAAAUAGGCCAACAGAUGUCAGGAAGGGAAACCAGGUCAUGAGAGGGUGAGCGUGGUGGGGACAGCCAAGGGUACACUUUGUGAGACAUUCUUAGAGGCUGUGGGUACAAGCUCUUAUCCCCCUCACUGUUUCUUUUGGACUUUUUCUGAAUUCAAAAUAAACUAGGGGUGAGCUAAAUAAAGGUGUAGCUAAGUGGUAGAACCGGCAUGUGUGAAGCCCCGCGUUUAAUCCCUAGCACUGAAAAAAAUAAAUAAACCAACAAACAGGGGGUGGGAGAAGUUAAACCAAGUCCAAGUCCAGGGAAGUGGCUCACAACUGUCAUCACCACAUUCCGGAGGCUGAGGCAGCUCGAGGCCAGCCUGGUCUACACAGCGAGUCCUCCAGAGAGGCCUGGUCUACACAGCGAGUCCUCCAGAGAGACCUGGUCUACACAGUGAGUCCUCCAGAGAGGCCUGGUCUACACAGUGAGUCCUCCAGAGAGUGGUGAGAGUCUUGCUUCUUGCUGUCAGGGACACAAAACCGAGGCCAGAGAAUGCAAACAUUGAGCACUGGUGUCUGAUCCCCAGAACCCAUGGAAAAGCUGUGAGCUCUGAGCUCAGUAAGAGACCCUGCCUCAAUAAAUAAAAAGUGCCCAUGGAGCAGGCGACAGGUGGGGCACACGCCUUUAAUCCCAGCACCAAGAGGCAGAGGCAGGCCGAGUUCGAAGCCAGCCCAGUCUACAGAGCUAGUUCCAGGACAGCCAAGAACACACAGAGAAACCCUAUCUAGGGUGGGGAGGUGGGGAGUGGGGACUAGAGAGUGACUGAAGAAGAAUCCUGGCACCGACUUGCACUUGCACACACACGUCCAUAGAUGUGAGAGCAUUCACAGGCACACACAUAGCAUGGCCCACCUAAGAUCCUGUUCAGAGCUAGGCUGAAGUCUAGCAGGGGCCCUGGAACUUUUUGUCUUCGAUCCUCAGUCCACCCACAUUCACACCCAGCAUGUAGCAAGCCCUCAGCAUUCACAAAAGCCUCUGAGAGGUUCACUGGAUUCUGGCAGCCCUCUGCCUCCUGGGCUUCUUUCAGGCCUUGGGAAUAAAAUCCAGUUUUCCUUGCUGCCCAGCCCUUCCACCUGCACAAUCAUUAGCUCCCUUCUGCGCCAGUCCUUUCUGUCUUCCCCUUUGAGGUGUAGGUGUAUCCCACUCUGGCUCUCUCCCAACACCAGCUCAGCCUUCAUUACCCUCUAAGCUUGUGCCUUAAGUUUAGGGAGGUCGCCGGGCAGUGGUGGCGCAUGCCUUUAAUCCCAGCACUUGGGAGGCAGAGACAGGCGGAUUUCUGAGUUCGAGGCCAGCCUGGUCUACAGAGUGAGUUCCAGGACAGCCAGGGCUACACAGAGAAACCCUGUUUUGGAAAACCAAAAAAAAAAAAAAAAAGUUUAGGGAGGUCUCCCACUUGGGCAACUUGGGCACAACCUGAUCCCCAUGGUUGGUCUUACUUCCCCUCCCAAUUCCAUGCCCCCCACACCACCAGGCUCAAAGAGGCAGAGGCAAGCCGAUCGACACAGCAAAUACCAGGCCAGCUAGAGUUGUAUGAUGAAACCCUGUCUCAAAAACAACAACCCCCAAUCCACCAAAGAACAACAACAACAACAACAAACCAAGGGAAGAGGUCAUGUCAGGUGAAUUCUAUGGUGGUCAUAGAAUAUAGAAGCCAAGGGACUUAGCCUGGGAAAAAACCCCACUCUUCCCAGACUACACACUCAAUUGCCACACCAGAAGGACAAGAGAGGUCUCUAGUUGCCAUUACCAGGAGUGUAUUAUUACACAAAACUCAUUAACUGCCCAGGCCCAGCUCCCGAGCCCCUGCCCUUGAGACAGAAAAAGCAAAGCUGCCGGGCCACAGAGGUAAGGGACUCCUUUCCUCUCUCCACACCACCAAACUGGAACCCACACCACAACGUGUCUGUAGCCCGAUUCUGGCUAGAGUCCCAAACCUUUCAACAGGUUCAGGCAAAUUUCCUUUGGGGAACGAAUUCACACCAUCAAUCUUAAAGACAACAAAAAGCUGUGACAUUCGACUCUCCAUCAGCUGUAUACAGGUCAGCUCUUUAAAGGCCUAAAGCGAUCCACUUAGCCAUGCACCAGGGCUGACGAUGUUGGGCCACACUGCAAACCUUGACCUUAGCUUUACCAGACACUCCCAGUCAAGGAAGCGCAGAGGUUUCUGGCCCCAAAAGUCAACAGGUUCCCGGGACUCCACACAGCCAGGAGGCUGGAGAGAUAAGCUGUGUAGAAUCAGCAGGCCUCCCCAGCUAAGGAUGCUAGGUCAGCGCGUUUGCCAGAUAAUCAGAAAAGCCCAAAUCAGACACAGGAGCAAAGGCACGGCAUAAGAAGUUGAUGUUCAACCCAUGAUCCUGACCCUUUCCCCUUCACUCUGGUUUGUGGGAGUGACCUUCAAGUCUCUCAAGGGCUUAAAUACCAACUCAGCGCUCGGCUGGCGAAAUCCCUGGACUCCCCUCACCCAAAGGAAGGAAGAAGACAGCGUCUCCCCAGGAAAACAGUUUCCAGCCCCAGGGCGCCCAUGCCGUCCGAGAGAUUGUAUAAAAGUGGACAAUCUGAUGUCACCAGUGCCAUGAGUCAGAAAAAAAGAAAAAGAGAAAAAAAAAAAAAAGAAAAAAGAGAAGAGAAGAGAAGAGAAGAGAAGAGAAGAGAAGAGAUAAAAUCUGACCUCAGGAUGAGGUAGUAAAAGCUUUGCCAUAGGCUGAUGUUUUUUUUUUUUUUCUUUCUGUUUUUUUAAAUCCCCAGUGUAUCCUGUAACAAAGGCACAAAAGAGAGCCAACACUCCCACCUGUUCCUUUCAGAGGGGCCUUUAAUCUCCUGACAUCCCAGAAGCAAAAGAGAAAGCUUGGUCAGGGAACAAGGUCUGACUCUCAGUCUCUCAAGAUUUCUUGCUGAUGUGGGGAAAGACCUGCCAAGAAACCUUAGGCUAUUAGGAAACAUUUUUGAGUGCUAAAGGCUAAAGGUUGGUUAUAAAUGAUAGGCUUUCUGCCCUCUCCCAGGUGGCCUUUGGUCUCUCCCUUUCUCCCACCUUUCUCCUCUCCUGCUAAGCUCUGUACACUAAGGAUCCUCUGGGCAGAUCAGAGAAGGGAAGUGAAGACUAACUGACUCGGGUCCAGGCAGUGGGAGCAGGUCCAAGGCUUUCCCUUCCUGCUAAGAAUGAGAGGCUGGGUGAGGCAGUAUAGGCUUGUCAGCCCACCACUUAGGAGAAUGAGAUGGAAUUAUUACAAAUUAAAGGCUAGCCUCAGCUACAUAGCAAGAUCCUUUGUGAAGAACAAAAGACCAAACAACCUUACAGACAAAAAAAUUUUUAGAGCCGGGCAGUGGUGGCGCACACCUUUGAUCCUAGAAUUUAGGAGGCAGAGACAGGCAGAUUUCUGAGUUCGAGGCCAGCCUGGUCUACAGAGUGAGUUCCAGGACAGCCAAGGCUACACAGAGAAACCUUGUCUCAGGGAAAAAAAAAUUCUUGAGAGCCCAGCAAUAAUGGUGCACUUUGAUCCCAGGACUCAAGAGGCAGAGGCAGGUAGAUCCUUGAGUUUGAAGCAAGUUUGGUCUAGGGGUUGAGUUCCAGGACAGACAGGGCUACACAGAGAAACCCUAUUUUGAAAAUAAAAUAAAAUAAAUAGCAAGCCCACUUCUUAGAGAUGACACUCAGGGCGUGGAACCUCUUGCCACCAAGUCUGUCAACCUGAGUUUGACCUCAUAAAUUCACAUAGUGGAAAAAGAGUGUCAACAACCAAAAGCAGUCCUCUGUCAUCGACAGCAGUCCUCUGUCAUCGACAGCAGUCCUCUGUCAGUCAUCCAGUUCUGUGGCCCCCAUAAAUGAAUAAAAAAAUGUAAGAAAAAAUUUAAAGUAAAAAAGUAAAUGAAUAGGACUCUAGAAAUAAAAAAGACAUGCCAGCAGUGACCUACAGAGUCAAGCCUGGGUACGGGGUGGGGCAGAGACAAGAGACAAAGGCAAGAAGCAGUUCUUACCAAGGAUGCCUAAGAAGGGGAGAGGAUGGCAGCUGACUCGGCCCCACUGAUGACCCUACAGCAACCAGGGCAAGCAAUGCUGCAGGCCCUGGAAGACCAGAAGGCCAGCAACGUUCCUGACUGCACGCAGGAGUCUAUUAGUCUAUUAGUCUACAGCUUGGGCAAAUGGAAGACUUGUCCCAGCCUCAGUUUCUCCAUCCACAAACAGGGACGAUGAUAAUGAUACGCACCCAGAGAGCUGGAUGAGGAUCAAAUGGGCUUUUUGGCACUUAGAGGCGCUGUGCAGCAAGCAGGCAUAGCUGGCUUACAUCUUCACCACCAACCGCCCUCUCCCAAAGACCCACUCCAGAAACCUGCCCCCGACCGAGGCGCCCAUCUCACCUGGCUUCGUACACAGGUAGGAGUAAAAGCCCUCGGACUUGAGCAUGAUGAGCAGCGAACCCCAGCCCAGGAGGACUGCGGAGAAAAGGAGGUUUUCCAACACAGCGGUGCAGGCCAUCCACCAGCGGCGCCGAUGGGCAGUGGCCAGGGUGGGCGCCAUGGUGCGGUGUGGCGGUGGUCGGGCUCCGGUUCUGCAGACACCUGCGCGCAGACCUCAGCUUCAGCGGUGGCUCUACCCAACCCGUGUAGCCGCUGGCGCACAGCCUGUCAGUCCCUUGCAGCCCAGGCUAUAGGUGCCCGCCGCAAAAGAAAAGAACCCUAGCCCUGUCAGGGACCUGGGCCACCCCGUACCCGCAGCUACCUGGUAACGCUACCUUAGGCCACAGUGGAGCCCCGCUGGCCAAGAGGAAAGGCUUCUCCCUUAGUUCACUCGGAGGUAAACUGAGGCAUGGCAGCUGGAAAAGGGCUAAUUAUGCUCAAGGACGUGGAGCGGGUCCUGAUCCCAAGCAAGACUGAACAGCCACUUUGGGGGCCGGAAAGGGAGGCAGCUCGUAGUAAGGUCACCUGAGCAGAGGCUCACCUGAGAGCUGCCACUCCCAGGGACCCUGACAGGCUCCCGCCCGCCCGCACUCGAGACCCUUCCUUAGUGCUUGUUCCUUCAACCACAAAAUCAGCACAGGGAGCCCCGAAACGGCCCGCCCACGGCGCUUUCAUUGGCGGGACCGCACAGGAACUGCCGCGCCAUUGGUUAGUGUUUAGGUCGCUAGGCGCUACCGCCACGCGAACCCCGCAUGGGAGAGGCGAAGCCGGUUCAAACCGGCGGCGCGAGCCAACCGCGCGACCCCCGUGUCGGGCUGUUACCCCGGCGAUUAGCCCGUUUCCAUAGAAGCGGAUCCCGUCCCUCUGUCCUCCUGGCCUUUUUCGUUACGUCUCCCUCCCGGUGUCGUCCCUCUGACAAGUAUGCACCUUCCCUCCAACCCCUGCCUGCGAGCGGCUUCAGGUUCUCGCACCCUCGUCUGAGACCCGGAUCCUGGGAGUCCAGCUCACCCGGCUCCUACCAGUGUGUAUCGGGCCCGCCCGGCGCCUUUUCUGUCCCCUUUAUUUCCAGCCCUUUUAUUCCUAUCCUAAGAUGAAAAACACUGCCGCCCGUUGAUUGGCUGAGUGGGGCUGGAAACAGGCGUCGGCCAAUCAGCAGCUACCCACCCGCCCCCCGGCGAGCAGAAGCCGGUUCCGGCCGGACUUGGAGACAAACAAGAGGAAUGGGGGGGCUGGGGGGCGGCUCGGGCAGGCCCAGCUCUACCCAGUUAAACUGGAGUGCCCCUCGACCCGGUGACCGCCGCGGGCAUCGCCCCACGCCCUUCUCGUUGCCCUCUUCCUUGUCAAGUUCAUGGGUCAGCGUUUCAGGGAGUCUUGGUCCACAGCGAGCUGGGCUCCAAGCACCGUGCGGUUCGGCCCGCAGUAUAGACCACCGUUCUCGCCCGGAGAGAACCAGGGCCGGAUGCUCCAACUCCGCAGGCCAUUACCGCCCUUUUGUGCUGUUUCCCGGCCUGCUCCUUGGGCUUUGUGUCCGGGCUCCUCGCUGCCUAGCCCCCGUUGUCCUAUCCAGGCGCUGUCUACGGGUAUCAGAACACCCCGACCCAGGUCGUGGCAUAAUUACCGCAUCCCUGCUAGAUCUCCCGACUCACCGGGUCCUUGCCUGGAAUCAGGUGCCUCCUGCCUGGUCUUUAAUCGGUGUCCCUUAAGGGUCUGUAGUCAGGAUUUUGGACUAAGAGCCCCUGGUCCUCCAGUUGUCGCCAUCCCCAUCCCGCGCCCUCUUUUCUCGGUGCCUUCAGAGACCGGUCAGUGUUCAGGCCGGUCACCUUGGCAUGCCCUGCCCUCCCACUUUCCCAAACGACUCUUUCAUGUGGCUGGCACACUUUCUCGUCCACCCUUCUUCAUGCUGUGAGCAAUCCCGAGCACCUAGUUAGUCUAAGUCUGACUUUGGAGAGCGCGAUAGAUCACUAGGGGUCCAAAGAGCUCCGUCCUUUCUGUAUCAUCAGCGGAGCUGCGCUGCUCUGAGGACCUGCUUGGACGUGGAAUGGAGCCUCAGCACGAAAGAUUUGGCUGUCCGUCCGAGUCUCCCUGACGAGAGGCACUAACCUCCCCUCAGAAAACACUCGGUAUCCCUCAGAUUCUCCACACUUCAAGAGCCGGCUUGCUUUAGAGCUAAGGGUGUCCCCAGCAGCCUGACUCAGCUUCCCUCAGCUCGAGUGCGCCCCCUGGUGCCCAGAACCUUCGCCAGCCAUUCUGCUAGUGCAUGCUCUCCCAGACUUGGUCUAGGCUUGCUGGUGGGUUUGGGGGCCUGAUGACCUACUGUGCAGAAAUCUCAUAAGCUCCAAAUUGGACCUACUAUCUGCCAAUAGAUUAAGCCCUUCAAUCCUUUUCCUAAGCAAUCUGCUUGAGGACCUUCUCCAGACAUAUAUCUAAAAUGUUCCCUCCCCCUCUUCAAAUAAAUAGUGCCCCCUUCUCCCUCA
This is a long non-coding RNA of Mus musculus (house mouse), 9745 nucleotides long. RefSeq annotates it as predicted gene 45606. The record is from RefSeq and is a predicted model, not a curated record. The transcript is spliced from 2 exons. NCBI's taxonomy places the organism in Eukaryota, Metazoa, Chordata, Mammalia, Rodentia, Muridae.